GGGAUUUGAUAACACUCUAGAAUAACGUAUUUUUAUGUAUUAGUUAUGUAUUUAUUCUGAGUAUGAUCCUGCUAAUUUGAGCUAUUUAUGAUCUUUUAUCUCAUAGGGACUAAAUUUGAGGCAAAAGUGAAAUUAAGGGCCAAAAGCGUGAAUUUAGAGAUAAAAUGGGCCAAUAUGCGACACAAGGAAAAGUUGGUGCCAAAAGUGCAAGCAUGGAGGACACAAGG
This 227-nucleotide long non-coding RNA is filed under the name Gossypium raimondii (Peruvian cotton). Its description in RNAcentral is "long non-coding RNA (GRAI_LNC000900)". Lineage: Eukaryota; Viridiplantae; Streptophyta; Magnoliopsida; Malvales; Malvaceae. The record is from RNAcentral.